CCUACGGGUGGCAGCAGUAGGGAAUAUUGCUCAAUGGGGGAAACCCUGAAGCAGCAACGCCGCGUGGAGGAUGAAGGUUUUCGGAUUGUAAACUCCUUUUGGUAGAGAAGAUAAUGACGGUAUCUAACGAAUCAGCACCUGCUAACUCCGUGCCAGCAGCCGCGGUAAUACGGAGGGCGCAAGCGCUCCUCUGAAUCACUGGGCGUAAAGAGCGCGUAGGCGGGAUAGCAAGUCAGAUGUGAAAUCCUAGGGCUCAACCAUAGAACUGCAUUUGAAACUGUUAUUCUAGAGUAUGGGAGAGGUGGGUGGAAUUCUUGGUGUAGGGGUAAAAUCCGUAGAGAUCAGGAGGAAUACUCGUUGCGAAGGCGACCUGCUGGAACAUAACUGACGCUGAUGCGCGAAAGCGUGGGGAGCAAACAGGAUUAGAUACCCUAGUAGUC
RNAcentral lists this ribosomal RNA (440 nucleotides) under uncultured bacterium. RNAcentral's name for it is "partial 16S ribosomal RNA". It matches the Rfam family "Bacterial small subunit ribosomal RNA", at positions 338 to 795 of the family's 1533-position model. The record is from RNAcentral.